RNAcentral lists this ribosomal RNA (340 nucleotides) under uncultured Glomeromycotina. RNAcentral describes it as "SSU rRNA". It matches the Rfam family "Eukaryotic small subunit ribosomal RNA", at positions 548 to 886 of the family's 1831-position model. Lineage: Eukaryota; Fungi; Glomeromycota. The record is from RNAcentral.
UUGGAGGGCAAGUCUGGUGCCAGCAGCCGCGGUAAUUCCAGCUCCAAUAGCGUAUAUUAAAGUUGUUGCAGUUAAAAAGCUCGUAGUUGAAUUUCGGGAUUGACUCGAUGGUCGUGCCUUAAGGGGUAUGAACUGUCGUUGUUGAUUUCUCACCUUCUGGAGAAGCUCGAUGUCCUUAAUUGGAUGUCUUGUGGAACCAGGACCUUUACCUUGAAAAAAUUAGAGUGUUUAAAGCAGGCAUUUUGCUCGAAUACAUUAGCAUGGAAUAAUAGAAUAGGACGGCAUGGUUCUAUUUUGUUGGUUUCUAGGAUCACCGUAAUGAUUAAUAGGGAUAGUUGGG